UACGUAGGGUCCGAGCGUUGUCCGGAAUUAUUGGGCGUAAAGGGCUCGUAGGCGGUCUGUCACGUCGGCUGUGAAAACCCGGGGCUCAACCCCGGGCCUGCAGUCGAUACGGGCAGACUAGAGUGCGGUAGGGGAGACUGGAAUUCCUGGUGUAGCGGUGAAAUGCGCAGAUAUCAGGAGGAACACCGGUGGCGAAGGCGGGUCUCUGGGCCGUAACUGACGCUGAGGAGCGAAAGCGUGGGGAGCGAACAGG
This 253-nucleotide ribosomal RNA is filed under the name uncultured bacterium. Its description in RNAcentral is "partial 16S ribosomal RNA". It matches the Rfam family "Bacterial small subunit ribosomal RNA", at positions 524 to 776 of the family's 1533-position model. The record is from RNAcentral.